CACAAAUGAAAUGACAAUACCAAGGUGCUGAAUGAGAGGUUGAGAUUUUGGUAGAGUCAAUUUCAAGGUCAGAAAUGUGCAUGAUCUUUGGCCAUUCUGGACCCACUCCAUUCUCCCUCUGGCAUCGUUUGGUCAGCAAUGGACAAUCCUUGAUAUGCAAAUGCUGGAGAGAUUCAGGAAGGCCAUCCUCUGGGAAGGAAUCAAUCAGGGGGCAAUCCUGGAUGUAAAGGUCCUUGAGUGAGGUAAGACUCUUCAGUAUGUCCUUAGGGACCAGGGAUUUCAGUCCAGCACAAGAAUUAAUGCUCAAACACUCAAGUGAAGAAGGUAGCCCUUCAGCUGGCAAUUUUACAAGCUUUGGACA
This 361-nucleotide unclassified non-coding RNA is filed under the name Hevea brasiliensis (rubber tree). The record is from RNAcentral. Lineage: Eukaryota; Viridiplantae; Streptophyta; Magnoliopsida; Malpighiales; Euphorbiaceae.